Eubalaena glacialis (North Atlantic right whale) is the source of this 2560-nucleotide RNA transcript. It is a transcript of the gene named tetratricopeptide repeat domain 19, with no coding region annotated. The record is from RefSeq and is a predicted model, not a curated record. NCBI's taxonomy places the organism in Eukaryota, Metazoa, Chordata, Mammalia, Artiodactyla, Balaenidae. The transcript is spliced from 12 exons.
UCCGGGGCCCGGGCCGCGGGCCGCAGUCCGCAGUCCGCAGAGCACUCGGGUGACCAUGUACCGGCUCCUGGGCGCGGGCCUGGCCCUAGGCCUCCUGCGGGUGGCGGGGCGGCGGGGUCGGAGCCGCUCGGCGCGCCUGCUGCCGGGUCCGGCGGGAGGCCGAGCGCCCGCGGCGGUCGUGCCGCCGUGCCGAGAGGUGCCGCGCGGCCUGGGCCCGGGCCUGCUGCCGCUGCUGGCAGCGCUCGCCUGGUCCUCGAGGCCCGCCCCGGCGGAGCAGGAGCGGGAGCGGCAGGGCGCGGGCGGGGCCGCGGCCGGGGACGCCGAGGCCGAGAUCAUCCAGCUGCUGAAGCGAGCCAAGUUGUGCAUCAUGAAAGAUGAGCCAGCAGAGGCAGAGCUAAUUUUGCAUGAUGCUCUUCGUCUUGCCUAUAAGAGUGAUAACAAGAAGGCCAUCACUUACACUUACGAUUUGAUGGCCAACUUAGCAUUUAUACGGGGUCAGCUUGAAAAUGCGGAAAAACUUUUUAAAGCAACAAUGAGUCACCUGCUUGGAGGGGGCAUGCAACAGGAAGACAAUGCAAUAAUAGAAAUCUCUCUAAAGCUGGCCACCAUUUAUGCUGCUCAGAAUAGGCAGGAAUUGGCUCUUGCUGGUUAUGAAUUCUGCAUUUCAACUCUAGAGGAAAAAAUUGAAAGAGAAAAGGAAUUAUCAGAAGACACUUUGUCAGUGUCCACCAGAUACGAGAGAGAGGAAGCGAAGCUCAUGUUUUGCCUGUUUGUCCUCAUUGCGGAGGGAAGAGCGCGAAGAGUCAUGCUGGGAACAGAAUGGGUGGAAGAGAAAGCCAACACCCACCUCCUCUUGGGCAUGUGCCUAGACACCUAUGCCCGCUACCUUCUGUUCUCCAAGCAGCCAUCACAGGCACAAAGGAUGUAUGAAAAAGCUUUGCAGAUUUCUGAAGAAAUACUAGGAGAAAGACACCCACAGACCAUCGUGCUGCUGAGUGACCUGGCCACCACCCUGGAUGCGCAGGGCCGCUCCGACGAGGCCUGUGUUCACGCGCAGAGGGCCUCAGACCUGGCGAGGCAGGGGGAGCACCCCGAGCUCCACGUGCUGCUCCGUAACCUGGCUGCGGUGCUGAUGCACGGAGAGCGAUACGCACAAGCAGAAGAGGUCUACCAGGAAGCGCUGAAGCGAGCAAAGCUGAAGAGAGAUGAGGUCUCUGUGCGGCACAUCAGGGAAGAGCUGGCCGAGCUGUCACGGAAAAGCAGACCUCUGUCGUAACCUUCCCAAGCUCUAGACCCCCCCUUUGUUGUGGGGAACUUACAGUAACAAACACCUCUCAUUCCAGUCCCAGUGGCACCCUAAUCAAUGGCUUAAAUCCUUUGUCCUUGAUACUCAAGCCCCCUCAGCUUAGCUUCGCUGGGGCACGAGCUGUACACGCUGUGCACACUGCUGCGUUUGCUUUGCGAAGAAAACUCGCCCCCCCACCUGACUGAUUUUGCUUCUGCGGACGGGUGUCGGUUAAUGCUUUCCGUUGCAGCAGACGGCUGGCGGGUUAGGUGCUGUCCAUGCUGGUCCGAGAAUAACUCUAGAUUAAGAGGGGCUAGUUUCCCUCUGGGGUGGGGUCUGGUAUUUCAGCCAGGCAUCUCUCCCAUAAGAUUUUUGUCCACUGAUUGAUUGAUUUGCUGCCUUCUCUUAUCAAUACCUGGCAGACCAGAGCUACCGGUCUCAUGGCAAAGGGGGAUGACGUUGCAGGAGUUACCGAAAGGGAGGUUUUUCGCUCCAGGUUUUACUGAGAAUUUCUGAGCCUCCUCAGUGAUGCGGCUCCCGGUCCCGGAACACCUGCGGGAGUUUUCAGAAAGCUCCUGUGCACGCGGUGCGGUCACUACAGUUCACUGCACCGAGGCAGCAAAACGAGGAGGACUGGCCUGCCACUGAUGGGGCUGAAUCCAAAGGUGAACCGUUCACAGUAUGAAAACUUGAACUAUCUCACUGGAGCUUUCAGGGCGUGGACAGUUGAAGACAGAAUCACCCAGCACACCCACAUUCAAGCACGACGCAUCUUCUCCUCAUGAACACGCGCUGGACACUGGCUGGCUGUCACAGUUCUGUGAACCGUAGCUUCGUUCUGGGUGCUAAAAAAAAGCCACUUGCCAGGCUGUAGCUUCAGAACCCUGGGGUCUCAGCCCGCAGCAUCCCGCCUCGGUUCACAGCUGACUUGGCCAGGUCACGACACGCCGGGGUGGGGCUCCACCUCCCACACGGUCUGCCCCCUCCGCAGGCCUGCACUCCGUCCUGCCCUUGUUCUGAACUGAGGCAGGACCGUGGGUUUUGUCUCCCGUUGCGGGAUCUCUUCUCCAGGUGGCGGCAGGUGAAGUAAAACAACUUGCACUGUGAUGAGGAGGCGUGAGUGGUCAACAGCCGCUCCCUUUGGGUCCUGAGUGGAGCUGCACAGGUGACGCACAGGGCUCUGAUCUGACGUGUUCUCAAGAACUAGUCAUAGAAAAAUACCAGCAUCAUCUCUUUGGGACUGUUGACAAAUAAUUAAAAUCUAAAAUAUUACUA